GGACCAGACUCCUACGGGAGGCAGCAGUGAGGAAUAUUGGUCAAUGGCCGGAAGGCUGAACCAGCCAAGCCGCGUGAGGGAGGAAGGCGCAGAGCGUCGCAGACCUCUUUUGCCGGGGGACAAAAGGCCGGACGGGUCCGGUUCUGAGGGUACCCGGAGAAAAAGCAUCGGCUAACUCCGUGCCAGCGGCCGCGGUAAUACGGAGGAUGCGAGCGUUAUCCGGAUUUAUUGGGUUUAAAGGGUGCGCAGGCGGUCUGUUAAGUCAGCGGUCAAAGCCCGGGGCUCAACCCCGGCCUGCCGUCGGAACUGGGUGCCUUGAGUGGGCGAGAAGUAUGCGGAAUGCGUGGUGUAGCGGUGAAAUGCAUAGAUAUCACGCAGAACCCCGAUUGCGAAGGCAGCAUACCGGCGCCCUACUGACGCUGAGGCACGAAAGUGCGGGUAUCGAACAGGAUUAGAUACCCCGGUACAA
RNAcentral lists this ribosomal RNA (469 nucleotides) under uncultured bacterium. Its description in RNAcentral is "bacterial SSU rRNA". It matches the Rfam family "Bacterial small subunit ribosomal RNA", at positions 328 to 795 of the family's 1533-position model. The record is from RNAcentral.